AUGAAAACACCUCCCUCGGAUGGAAGAAAAUAAGACCAUGAUAUCGCGCUAUUUUAUAAGCUUUUCCUGAUGGAGAUUUUCAUAGUAAUACCUCCCGAUAUUCCUUUUCAAUUAUCCAUCAAAAAAGUUAGGUUUGUGGAGAGAGGGACAGCUUGGACAUUACCAGAUGGAGUUUGACCAGAAGCCUAAAACAAUGUCGGCAGCUGAUAACAGCACCACCUUAAUUAACCAGAAAGGGGUAAUGGAUCUGCUGCUCAAUUUUCUUCACGCCAUCCUAUAUAUAUAGGUGAUAUAUAUGUAUGGAAGAGCCAAAGAAUUGUUGUGCAGGUGAAGAUAAGAAAGAAACAUGAAAGGAACUACUGUCGCAGGAGGGAUGAUGCAGGGUGCAAUGGUGGAUCUCGAUGCUACGAAUUGAGCUUUAAGCAUCGUCUCUCCUCGACAGAAGCCCAUUCCAAUUUCUUCGGUUUCAGAUAACCAUUUUUUUUCUGCAUCAUUAACGUGGAGGCGACUGAAAAUUUUGCUUUUCGAGUCCUCGAUCGUGUUUGAGGAUUUCAAAUUUACUACAUUCUCCUUUGGUCUGCUCUCUGCAAAUUCAGUCUUGGCCCAUUGCAUACUGAUCUGCUAACAUAUAUAGUUUAGUUUAUACUUUAUAGUUUUUCAGCUGAUUUUUCAUGGUAGUUUGGUCCUUGUUUUAGUGCACACUGUGAAGCAUUUCAAUGAACAUGUACAUCGAGUUUUAGGAUCGACGUAGAAUUUGGUGGUCACUCGGGAUAAUCUAGGCAUUGUGCCCUCUUUUCGAAGAUUCGGGAAGCUAAAAGAGGCAAUGCACGUUAUAGUACUGCAAUAAGAGGUUAAGAUGAAAAUACAGGGAAAUCAAAACCUUGCAAUAGCUUAAAUUCAGCUUACGAUGUAAGUAUACAUUCAUCAUGUAUGGAAUUUGGGCACAAUGGAUCGGUGGAUCCGUUCGAAAACUUUGCUCAUCCAGCAGCAUAUGUACAAUGUCUAAAUGCUCGUAGCUAUGUUGGCGGAGAUGGCGUAACAGUAAACCGAGCAUAAAUGAUGUGAAUGUGCACUUGAUGUUAGAAACUUCCCAGUAGGUGUGCUUGGCAAAACGUAAAGGAAAAUGUAUCCCUAGUUCACAACCUUUGCAUAAUACUCUCUGCUUUUGCAGAAAGCAAUUAAAAUCAUCAAUAAUCUCCUGCUUCUUCUUAGGAUCCAUUGCCAGUGUCCGAAACGACGCAGGGUGCUCGAAAACUAAGUGAUUCCAUAAAUGCUUCCCAUCCCAGUCCCAGAUAUGGCUCGGCUUGUUCGUGUAAAGCUUCCAUUGACGGUUUUUGAGCUCGAUGGCCUUCCCUUCUAUUCAACAUUAGUAAGUUAGGGAUAAAAAUAUACUACUGAUAUUUUGGAGGAAAAUUAGGAGAAAAUCAAGUCUAAUUGGUUAUAUUUGUGUCGAACAAUAAGUAAAAGCAGUAAUUAUCCCGUUAAUGCUCCUGGUAUCAAGGAGACUAAGUCAGUGGGUUCAACCAACACCUAUGAUUUUUC
This is a long non-coding RNA of Rhododendron vialii, 1542 nucleotides long. RefSeq lists it as uncharacterized. NCBI's taxonomy places the organism in Eukaryota, Viridiplantae, Streptophyta, Magnoliopsida, Ericales, Ericaceae. The transcript has 3 exons. The record is from RefSeq and is a predicted model, not a curated record.